AAAGGAGGUUUUUCUAGUACGAAAGGACCGAAAAAACAUGGCCUAUACUUCAUGCAAGCCAUAAUUAAUAACUUAUGAUUAAAUCUUAAUAAGCACUUAAUCCACUAUAAACCUCAAGAAAAGAGGA
RNAcentral lists this ribosomal RNA (127 nucleotides) under Osteocephalus taurinus (Manaus slender-legged treefrog). Its description in RNAcentral is "partial 16S ribosomal RNA". The record is from RNAcentral. Lineage: Eukaryota; Metazoa; Chordata; Amphibia; Anura; Hylidae.